RNAcentral lists this small RNA (2179 nucleotides) under Arabidopsis thaliana (thale cress). RNAcentral's name for it is "ATSL033300". Lineage: Eukaryota; Viridiplantae; Streptophyta; Magnoliopsida; Brassicales; Brassicaceae. The record is from RNAcentral.
AAAAAAGCUUAAAAGAUUCAUGAAUGCAAAGGGUAGAAUAAGUUCUUAUAUUGGGAUUGGAGAUGGGAUUACCAUUAGAGCUUCAUUUGAUAUACUCUGGGUAGAUGGGAUCUUAUCUCUGUAUGCAUAGCUUGGGACUUACCUUUAACAUUCUACUAAAGCUUAAUCAUUUUUUGAGAGAUCCCCUGUUACUGAAGCCUAUUCUGUAAGGGACCAUCUUUGUCUCUUGACCUUUUACCUUAGCCAAAUGAGUUCAUUGAUGAUGCAUUGCUUGAUUCACGUUCCAGAACUAAUGAAUGUUAAAGGGAUUGGUAGAUUUGAAAACUUGUGUAGGUCGAGCAUAUAAGUCGGAUUGAUUGAUGAUGAGGCAUGGCUAACGUUUUUAAGUAGAAUUCGAUCUUGCAGCUUAGAACUUUCAACUUGGACAUUGAUUUCAUCUAGUUUAUCUGGUGCUUUGGCUCUGAGUCCCCGCUUUCAAACCUCACCUCCAGCUUGUUCUUGAUUGUUUGCUUGAGGGCAAGCAAAGACUAAGUUUGGGGGAGUGGAUAAGUGUGUAUUUUGCAUGUUUUGAGCAUCCAUUUGUCAUCACUUUAGCAUCAUAUCAUCACUGUUUUAUACCAUUUCUCAUCAUUUGUCAUCACUUUACAUGUUUAGGAUAGAUUUGCAUGCAUGUUGCAUCUUUGCGUUGAUUUCAGGUGAUUUGGAGCUGUUGACGAGCUAUCUGGAAGAAGCGGACCUGAUCAUGUCAAACCACUCGACCCCGAGGUCGAGUAGGAGCUUCAAGAUCUCAACAGAUCACUCGACCCCCUGGUCGAGUAGAGGACAUCACUACUUGACCACAUCACUCGACUCCGAGGUCGAGUGUCUUCAUCCCAUCACCUGACCAUCACUCGAUCACAUCACUCGACCCCGAGGCCGAGUGUCUUCACCUUCAUUGCCAGACCACUACUCGACCUCAUCACUCCACAUGGAAGUCGAGUAUCACCAUCACCACCACUCGAUUGCAUACUCGAUGACAAGCUUCAGAGCCUUCUUCAUUCCGCACUCAACCAGACACUCGAGCACAAGGAAGAAAAGAAGACUCCAGCUAUUCACUCGACCUCCCACUCGACCACAUGGGUCGAGUACAGUUCGGAAUAUUUGGCUAUAAGUAGCAUGUACUUCACAUUUUCGCAGACAAGUUUUUAUCUAGUUUUAUUGAGCAGACCUUGUGUUCUAGACCUUUUGUAAUCCGGAUUUCUCUUUAUCUAUUCAGUAUUCAGUAUUCAGGUUUUGUUCUUCAUUUCGUUUACUGUUGUUCAUUCUGUUAUCAUCCUGCUGUUACACUGUUGUUAUCAUGUUUUCAACUUGUUCAACGUUUAUGCUUUCUGUUAUGAUGUCUGAGUAGUGAAUAGGUUUCUGAGGAUGGGUUAGAGUAGUGUAGAAUUCUCAGUAUGCUAGGUGAUUGAGUAUUGAUUGAUAGAGCCCUUCUGGAUUAGUUGUUCUUAAUGCCUAUUGCUUUCUGAUCAACUGGAAUUUGAGCCCAGACAUUUCCGCGCCCAAAAAGUGUUCGAUGAAAUGUCUGAACCACUAAUUCCAGAGAUUCGUGACCCUGUACCUGUUGAUUCGUAAUGCCUGUUAGGUUAGCUCUCGUCAAUGGUGAUUGAGUCUGGGACUAGGUUAACUUGAGAGUCUCUAUUGCGGUGGCACUUAGAUUUGGUUAAUGAACUUGUUGUCUAGGGUUAAGGAAACGAAACUACUCAAUUACCCCAUCCUCGGGAAUUCUUUAUCUGAUUGAAUUCUUUGUUUACUCUACUGUUGUUUACUGCAUCUUGUUAUCUGUCGCUUAAUUUCUGCAGUUCUUUUUUGUUACUUGACCUCAUACUCGACCACCCAGUUGUCUGGCAACAGACUAUGCAGUCGAGUAUCUGAGUUUUAUUUUCUGUCUAUUACUCGACCUGUCACUCGACCUCACCCAGUGCUCUACAAAGAGCUGUGUUGGUCGAGUGUUUUGCUGUUUUUGCUUGAAUUUCUGUUUUCUGCAUGUUCACUUAGAACUGCUAGAACACACCACAACCUGUUAUUGCUUGGCUUGACUUAGUGACUUCUAAUCACAUCUUGAUUGUUAGCAUCACACCCAUUUGGAUUGACAACCUUCAGUAUUACAACGACAUGAUAGUGCUUUAGGUUUAAUUGACUU